RNAcentral lists this ribosomal RNA (606 nucleotides) under Triticum aestivum (bread wheat). Its description in RNAcentral is "partial small subunit ribosomal RNA". Lineage: Eukaryota; Viridiplantae; Streptophyta; Magnoliopsida; Poales; Poaceae. The record is from RNAcentral.
AUGUUCUCGCCAGUUGAUGCACAAAGGGUCCUUGCAAUUCCUUCGUCACAACAUGAUAUGUCGGAUUUUGUCGCUUGGAGAUAUUCAAAGAAUGGAACUUUUUCUGUUCGAUCAGCAUAUGCAGUGCAAUGGGAACACCAACACGGGGGAAAAUUAAGGAGAACCGAUGAUAUGGGACACAUGACUAUCAAUCCUAUUUGGAGUGAGAUUUGGAAAUUAUCUUGUCCAUCGAAGGUUAAAAUUUUCAUUUGGCGCACACUGCAUGGCACCCUCCCGUGUAGAGUUAAUUUGGAGAAUAGACAUAUAAAGGUUACCCCCAAUUGUCCGGCAUGCUCCUUUGGAUCAUAGGAUACAAAGCAUAUAUUAUUUCAGUGUCAGAAAGCAAAGGAGGUUUGGAAAAAACUGGGUCUAGAUCAGGUCAUUAAAAGAGUUUGCGAAGUUGAUUAUGCUGGUGAGGCGGUGCUUGAAUUUUUGCUUUCUAUGCCUGAAUGGGAGCUUAUGAUCUUGGGUAUUCCGAAUGUCCGUGAAUUAAUUGCAAUUUCAACUUGGUAUUUAUGGUGGGAGACGCGAAAACUGGUCCAUAAGGAAUUCGUGCAAUUACGUUAA